CCAGAAUCCGCUUGUGGUUCAAGUGGGACAAGGCAUUCUCACUGCCUGGGAGAGAAGAUUAGUGAGUCCGCUGGCAAAGGAUUCAACGCACUCUACACACCACGAAUGGGCCUGGAGACAUGCAUUCACAGGAGGAUGAGGUUUUGUAAUAAAUACGAGCUCAAGAUCAUAUGGCUUCGCCAUGACUGCGUAAUAUUUUACAGCUGCUUCACACGGUGGAAAUAAUAUGUUCAGCAGCUAGUGUGUGUUUUGUCAGAAGCGGCAUUCGCAUACACCAGAGGAACUGUAACCCACAUCCCACCAUCAACUCUCCAGAAAACCCAAGUAAAAAAAAGGACAGAUCAUAGGCAGCGAUAAGGAGAACCAGCACCAUGGCAUGGAGGAGGACACAGGACCUUGAAACCUCUGGAGCUUCCACAACCGCUGCUGUGUAAAGGCAGCAGUGAUACACCACUAAUGCUGCAUCCUCAAAGGCCUUCAAGGAGAGAGCAUACUCCUCCUGUGAGUACAUCGCACCUUUCAUUCCACUGAGUGCAUGGGGAUACCACAGAAGUAUCCCCAUCCUUCUACCAGUGAUGACUGACAUACAUCUAUUAUGUCUAAUUUUUUGCUUUCUUUCCAUGUUCUGUCUCUAAGCAUCCUUGUGUGGCUUGCUAAAUGCUCCCAAAGUCAUGUACCGCCACUGAUAUAUUUUCCAGUUCCUCAGUGCAAACAAUAAAAAGUUUAAAAAAUGCAUCGCUAUUUUUAAUGCCAACUUUCAAUUUCUCUUUCUCAAGGCGAUUGUAAAUGAAUUAGUCCCAAAUAACAGCAGCCAUCUCCCAUUUCAAAAAAGCUUCAUAAGAAACCAUCACCAGCAGCAAUAAAGAAUUUCUGGAUUUUUCUAGCACUUUCAAGAUCAUUGAUGUGGCAAAAAAGGAGAAGCUUGCUUGUAAACUCAGUCUGAGUUCCUUCGGGGCAGCUAAGGGAUGAUGAGAUGAAGACCACUUUGAUUCACUUUAGAAUACAAUCAAUCACAACUUAACAUACAUUAAGGCCGAACUGCAGAACAAGUGUAAAAAGAAGCAAAGCCAUUUUUCUGAUCCAGCACAGCACUCAUGUUACUGGAACUGAGGCUUGCAUUUCUAUCAGCACAUAGAAAGUCUGUUCAGCUGCAGAAGCUCAGCACUGGACACCACUGGUGUGAGCAGAGA
Molecule: long non-coding RNA, 1190 nt
Organism: Numida meleagris (helmeted guineafowl)
Lineage: Eukaryota; Metazoa; Chordata; Aves; Galliformes; Numididae
Exons: 3
Source: RefSeq, a predicted model, not a curated record